AAGGGAGACCAAUUGACGUGAAGUUAAAGAACGCAUUUAAGUCUUAGCUAUCACAGGUCAAACCAAGGUCGGUUCAAAAGUCUUAAUGUGGAAAAAAAGACGGUCAAACUAAUUGUUCUGGUUCUAAAUCUAACCAAAGAAGAACCAAGAAUGGGCUAUUAGCUCAGGUGGUUAGAGCGCACCCCUGAUAAGGGUGAGGUCCCUGGUUCAAGUCCAGGAUGGCCCACCACAAUAAUCAAUCUAAUGAAGUAGUGCUUCAAUUAGGGAGAGAAAAAGAGGGGGUAUAGCUCAGCUGGUAGAGCGCCUGCUUUGCAAGCAGGAUGUCAGCGGUUCAAAUCCGCUUACCUCCACCAAGAAUAAAAAUAGCCUAAAGAGAAUAAGUUCAGCAAGGUCAUAACUACGAAAAGUAGAGUGAGCCUGCUGGAGCGUUAGACUCUAGUAAUGAACCUUGAAAACUGCAUAAUAUCUAGAAGAAGCAAAUUAACCAAAAGGAAAGUUUGCUUGUGAUAGAGCCAAUAAAAAGAACUAAGUAAGUAAUCAAUUAAGUCAAAAAACUAAGGCGUGAACGAGAGUUCACAAACUAGUCCAAGAUAGGAUAAAACCUAUUGAGCAAAGAUAAUAGAGAGAAGUUAGAUGCAUGCAUCUAGCCAUCGAAAUGGUCAAGU
RNAcentral lists this transfer RNA (665 nucleotides) under cyanobacterium CBW1116. RNAcentral's name for it is "partial 16S-23S ribosomal RNA intergenic spacer". The stretch from base 278 to 350 matches the Rfam family "tRNA". Lineage: Bacteria; Bacillati; Cyanobacteriota. The record is from RNAcentral.